GACGGGGGCCCGCACAAGCGGAGGAACAUGUGGUUUAAUUCGAUGAUACGCGAGGAACCUUACCCGGGCUUGAACUGCAGGAGAAGGAUACAGAGAUGUUGACGCCCUUCGGGGCUCCUGUGGAGGUGCUGCAUGGUUGUCGUCAGCUCGUGCCGUGAGGUGUCGGCUUAAGUGCCAUAACGAGCGCAACCCUUUUCGUCAGUUGCCAUCAGGUGAUGCUGGGCACUCUGGCGACACUGCCACCGUAAGGUGUGAGGAAGGUGGGGAUGACGUCAAAUCAGCACGGCCCUUACGUCCGGGGCUACACACGUGUUACAAUGGGGCAUACAGAAGGCCGGUGCAUGGCAAUGUGCAUCCAAUCUUAAAAGUGCUCCUCAGUUCGGAUUGGGGUCUGCAACCCGACCCCAUGAAGCUGGAUUCGCUAGUAAUCGCGCAUCAGCCAUGGCGCGGUGAAUACGUUCCCGGGCCUUGUACACACCGCCCGUCAAGCCAUGAAAGCCGGGGGCGCCUGAAGUCCGUGACCGCGAGGGUCGGCCUAGGGUGAAACCGGUGAUUGG
This 557-nucleotide ribosomal RNA is filed under the name uncultured bacterium. RNAcentral's name for it is "bacterial SSU rRNA". It matches the Rfam family "Bacterial small subunit ribosomal RNA", at positions 912 to 1478 of the family's 1533-position model. The record is from RNAcentral.